ACCCUGAUCCAGCCAUGCCGCGUGUGUGAAGAAGGCCCUCGGGUUGUAAAGCACUUUCAGCGAGGAAGAACGCCUAGCGGUUAAUACCCGCUAGGAAAGACAUCACUCGCAGAAGAAGCACCGGCUAACUCCGUGCCAGCAGCCGCGGUAAUACGGAGGGUGCAAGCGUUAAUCGGAAUUACUGGGCGUAAAGCGCGCGUAGGUGGCUUGAUAAGCCGGUUGUGAAAGCCCCGGGCUCAACCUGGGAACGGCAUCCGGAACUGUCAAGCUAGAGUGCAGGAGAGGAAGGUAGAAUUCCCGGUGUAGCGGUGAAAUGCGUAGAGAUCGGGAGGAAUACCAGUGGCGAAGGCGGCCUUCUGGACUGACACUGACACUGAGGUGCGAAAGCGUGGGUAGCAAACAGGAUUAGAUACCCUGGUAGUCCACGCCGUAAACGAUGUCGACCAGCCGUUGGGUGCCUAGCGCACUUUGUGGCGAAGUUAACGCGAUAAGUCGACCGCCUGGGGAGUACGGCCGCAAGGUUAAAACUCAAAUGAAUUGACGGGGGCCCGCACAAGCGGUGGAGCAUGUGGUUUAAUUCGAUGCAACGCGAAGAACCUUACCUACUCUUGACAUCCUGCGAAUUUGGUAGAGAUACCUUAGUGCCUUCGGGAACGCAGAGACAGGUGCUGCAUGGCUGUCGUCAGCUCGUGUUGUGAAAUGUUGGGUUAAGUCCC
RNAcentral lists this ribosomal RNA (716 nucleotides) under marine metagenome. RNAcentral's name for it is "bacterial SSU rRNA". It matches the Rfam family "Bacterial small subunit ribosomal RNA", at positions 380 to 1088 of the family's 1533-position model. The record is from RNAcentral.